Molecule: non-coding RNA, 46 nt
Organism: Operophtera brumata (winter moth)
Lineage: Eukaryota; Metazoa; Arthropoda; Insecta; Lepidoptera; Geometridae
Source: Rfam
CAAUUGGCUUUUUUCAAAGUCACCAUAAAUAAAUUAAUAAUAUGAA